RNAcentral lists this ribosomal RNA (253 nucleotides) under uncultured bacterium. Its description in RNAcentral is "partial 16S ribosomal RNA". It matches the Rfam family "Bacterial small subunit ribosomal RNA", at positions 524 to 776 of the family's 1533-position model. The record is from RNAcentral.
GACGGAGGAUGCAAGCGUUAUCCGGAAUUACUGGGCGUAAAGCGCACGUAGGUGGCGACGUAAGUCGGGUGUGAAAGCCCCGGGCUCAACCUGGGAAUUGCAUUCGAGACUGCAUUGCUGGAGUACGGAAGAGGAAGGCGGAAUUCCCGGUGUAGCGGUGAAAUGCGUAGAUAUCGGGAGGAACAUCAGUGGCGAGGGCGGCCUUCUGGUCCAGUACUGACACUCAAGUGCGAAAGCGUGGGGAGCAAACAGG